Small nucleolar RNA from Telopea speciosissima, 91 nucleotides. RefSeq annotates it as small nucleolar RNA snoR1. Lineage: Eukaryota; Viridiplantae; Streptophyta; Magnoliopsida; Proteales; Proteaceae. The transcript has a single exon. The record is from RefSeq and is a predicted model, not a curated record.
GGCAAAGAUGAAGAGUGCUUAUUCUGACACCUCUUGUAUGAGAAGAGCUUUAAUGGUUCUUCUUUGAGCAAAGUUAGCAACUCUCUGAGCC